RNAcentral lists this ribosomal RNA (237 nucleotides) under uncultured bacterium. Its description in RNAcentral is "partial 16S ribosomal RNA". It matches the Rfam family "Bacterial small subunit ribosomal RNA", at positions 15 to 248 of the family's 1533-position model. The record is from RNAcentral.
GAUCAUGGCUCAGGAUGAACGCUAGCGACUGGCUUAACACAUGCAAGUCGAGGGGCAGCAUGAGGUAGCAAUACCUUGAUGGCGACCGGCGCACGGGUGAGUAACGCGUAUGCAACCUGCCCGAUACCGGGGUAUAGCCCAUGGAAACGUGGAUUAACACCCCAUAGUACUUUUAUCCUGCCUGGGAUGGGAGUUAAAUGUUCAAGGUAUCGGAUGGGCAUGCGUCCUAUUAGUUAG